Molecule: long non-coding RNA, 682 nt
Organism: Eriocheir sinensis (Chinese mitten crab)
Lineage: Eukaryota; Metazoa; Arthropoda; Malacostraca; Decapoda; Varunidae
Exons: 4
Source: RefSeq, a predicted model, not a curated record
GGAAGAUUGCCUACCACGGCUGACGACCUCCACCUGCCCGGGUUUGUUGUUCGGAGUUUGCUCUCCUAGGUGAACUGCCUCCCACGGCUAACGAGCCUCACCUGCCCGGGUUUGUUUAGAGUUUGCUCUCCUAGGUGAAUUGCCUACCACGGCUAACGACCUCCACCUGCCCGGGUUUGUUUAGAGUUUGCUCUCCUAGGUGAAUUGCCUACCACGGCUAACGACCUCCACCUGCCCGGGUUUGUUUAGAGUUUGCUCUCCUAGGUGAAUUGCCUACCACGGCUAACGACCUCCACCUGCCCGGGUUUGUUUAGAGUUUGCUCUCCUAGGUGAAUUGCCUACCACGGCUAACGACCUCCACCUGCCCGGGUUUAUUGUUCGGAGUUUGCUCUCCUAGGUGAAUUGCCUCCCACGGCUAACGACCUCCACCUGCCCGGGUUUAUUGUUCGGAGUUUGCUCUCCUAGGUGAAUUGCCUCCCACGGCUAACGACCUCCACCUGCCCGGGUUUAUUGUUCGGAGUUUGCUCUCCUAGGUGAAUUGCCUCCCACGGCUAACGACCUCCACCUGCCCGGGUUUGUAUAGAGUUUGCUCUCCUAGGUGAAUUGCCUACCACGGCUAACGAGCCUCACCUGCCCGGGUUUGUAUAGAGUUUGCUCUCCUAGGCAGAUUGCCUACCACGGC